RNAcentral lists this ribosomal RNA (253 nucleotides) under uncultured bacterium. RNAcentral describes it as "partial 16S ribosomal RNA". It matches the Rfam family "Bacterial small subunit ribosomal RNA", at positions 524 to 776 of the family's 1533-position model. The record is from RNAcentral.
GACGUAGGAGGCGAGCGUUGUCCGGAUUCAUUGGGCGUAAAGAGCACGCAGGCGGUUUGGCAAGUCGGAUGUGAAAACCCGAAGCUCAACUUCGGGCCUGCAUCCGAAACUGCCCGACUAGAGGUAGGUAGGGGAGAUCGGAAUUCCACGUGUAGCAGUGAAAUGCGUAGAUAUCUGGAGGAACACCGGUGGCGAAGGCGACAUCCUGGACCGGUAUUGACGCUGAGGCGCGAAAGCCAGGGGAGCAAACGGG